AGCUUACUGUCCGGUGCGUAGUUCCGCAGAUCUUCCGAGCCUCAAGUUUUUUUCGGGAGCUGUCCCUGCCCUGAUCGUGGUCUUGGUAUAUGGCACCCACCUAUUGAGAUGCGGUUCGUGUAAGAAUGUAUUUAUACGGCCGGACGGUUCUCUC
RNAcentral lists this non-coding RNA (154 nucleotides) under Rhodospirillales bacterium. Its description in RNAcentral is "6S RNA". It matches the Rfam family "6S / SsrS RNA". From Rfam's summary of the family: E. coli 6S RNA was the first non coding RNA to be sequenced, but its function was unknown until recently. Lineage: Bacteria; Pseudomonadati; Pseudomonadota; Alphaproteobacteria; Rhodospirillales. The record is from RNAcentral.